Molecule: long non-coding RNA, 2574 nt
Filed under: Malus domestica (apple)
Lineage: Eukaryota; Viridiplantae; Streptophyta; Magnoliopsida; Rosales; Rosaceae
Description: long non-coding RNA (MDOM_LNC013304)
Source: RNAcentral
AGAGGGGAAUGAGAGCUUCAAGAUGGUGGUGGUGGCAUUGAAAAACUCCAUCGAAGUUGGCAGGAAUCGACCUUGGAAAAUGGGAGGUCGCGGAGGUGUGGGUGACGGGGAAGCUGGGAGCUUUCUCCCUUUUUUUUUUUUUUCUUUUCUGAUUGGCUGAAGGCUUUGCUUGCUUUUAUGUGAUUGGUCCUUUGUGCCUAAAAUUUGAUUGGGUUACUUCCUUGAAGGAGUUAAAUUAAUUUACAAACUGAAUAUAAAUAACCAAAUUCAAAAGUCUGUAACUAUACCGUUAUCAUCCAGACUCGCAAACGGCUUUCGGCUAUGUGUUCGGACCAACAAGUACUACAAGGAUACGCUAAAAGAAUAAGUCAUACGUUUCUCUAGACGAUGGUAAAUUAAAGUCAAAGUCCUUACCUCUAGGGCAUUUUUGUAAAUUCACACUUUUAAAAUUAAUAAAAACGUAAAAUUAAGAAUGGGUUGUCACAAUCUACCCACCUUAAAAAAUUUCAUCCUCGAAAUUUAAAAUCAUUUGUUAUACAACAGUAGUGAAAAGACAGCAGAUAAAUAGAUAUGUAAGGAAGAUAUCAAGUAAGCGUGGUUGCAUAAAAGAGAAUGUCAUUCCAUCACGAUCGGAGUGCAGUGAUUCCUCAUUCAUACCCCCAAACUAGUACUUUCUUUAUCCUUUAACACAAUACUAAAAUGUAAUACUACAAUAUAAAAUCCUUUAUGAAAACAUUAAGUCAAAAAUAGAUAUGCAGUAACAUGUCGUCAAAAUGCACAAAUCAUAUAACGUACCAUUGAAUAGUUGUAUUGAAAUCAAGACUGAACAUAGAUUAGUUUUCACCUACGCACUCAUUGUGUUACAUACCCCGAAGAUGAACAUGUAGUAUCUUUGGGUCGAGCCUAGAUAAUGAAUAACUAACUAAAUAAGUAAAUACAAAUGCUAACAUAGAAUGACCUACUUGUCUAUUUACUUAACGAACCCAACGAAUAAGUUAUUGAUAUUACGGUCUGCAACCUGCAAUACCAACAAUUUACUGUUGUCAUGCUAAGUAAGUAACAAAUUCCCUAGGGUGCAAUAUAACCAUCAUCCCCUCCAUUGGAAAAUACACAAAUAACGUCUAGUCAAAUCUCCACCGCACUCACACACUCCCCCUCCUUGGGUAACAACAACAAUAGGAUAACAUUUUUAUAGUGUGAACUUUCACAAUUGAACACUUGUUCGUAAAACUCCUCAGUCAAGCAAGUGCUAUGCAAAGAAUCUACAUUCCAAAUCUCCAUAGUGUCACAACAAAGACCAACAAUUUUUUGUGAAGAGUUACAAGCAUUUCUAGUGAAGAUAAGUAUCAAAUACGAUCAUACUACAACUAUAAAGAAAAUAAAUGUAACACACCAAGAAAGUUUGGAUAGUCCCUUCAGAUUGGUUGUUAGUUUGAGGGAAAUAUAUAGUCAACUACAACUUACUACAUGUGGACUUCAAGAAGGCUUCCCAAACACUUGUAAAACAUGCAUCCCGAUAAGAUAUAAUAGUGACAUACCUGUUAUGUAGUUGAGCUAACAUAGUUUACAACAGUUUAGCAAGCAAAUUGAUAAUGAAGUUCCUCGAACUUAGUGAGAAAGUGACUACGUCGAGAAGGCUAGAAGAAUAUUCGAGAAUUUGAGGAUCAAAGCAAGUCCAUCAAAUUUAGAAUAAGAGAUAAAUGGACUGGAUGUAUAACAUCAAACUACGACAAUAGCUUUCGAGAUAUUCGAUCACCAUGGUAAGAUUCAUUCAACUGAGCAUUUGCUAGGUGAUUAAGUAAUUAAUGGUUACGACUGCACUUUCAACAUUAAUGGUUCUUUUAGACAGUGCUUCCGCUUUAAGGCAAUACAAAGUGUAGUAGGGUAAACACGUACCCAAGGUUAACUAGAAGACCUUCCAGCACCAAGAAGUGAAAAUGUUGUCCUUUUAAACCAACGGAAAGCGAAUUGACUUGUCACAUCAAUUGACAAUCAUCAUACAUCACCAAAAUCCCUACAGAGAAGUGUUAUCUAGCUUUCGAAAUAAGAUGAUGACUGUUGAAUUUAGGUCAUGAAUAAGAUGGGUUGUUUCGAAUGGUUCUAACUGUUGGAAAAUAAAAGCAAUACUCCGUCAUGUUGCCUCUGCCCAGUCGAAACAUCCAAAGAACAUGUCACACUGAAUUUCGAAAUGAUCAGAGUCAACAAAAGGUGUAAAAUAGGGGUAAGAUAAGACAACACUUCAGUUGUCAGAAACUUUAAUCAUUUCCACCAACCCACUCUAAUUUAACUUUCCUCGGUCGUAAGUGAGAAAAACACUGUAGCCGAAAGGUUUGAGGUUCCUACGAUAAAGUGUUUAGUCCUUGGUUGGGUAAAUUCCUAAUUGGUAAACUUUGUAACUAAGUUUCUCAAUGACGUAAAAAAUGUUCAAUAUGAAGCAAGGAAUAUUGGUGUAAAACUAGGAAGUGGGUCGAUGAUGUACAUCACUUAACAAUUUGGUGGUAUAUCGGUAAGAUUGGGAUACGACACCAAAAGUAUACGUCCUUGAAACGUACAAUACUACUAACCAACUCUACG